AUGAUCGAUUGUGGAUUUUGCUAUCCAUCAUUUUCCAUAGUAAUGAAAAUGCUCUUGGCUCGACAUAGCCUGUUCUAUUUGUUCCGAACCAAAUUUGCGCUGGGUUUAAGUAACAUAGUACACGAUGGAGCUCGAGAGGACAGAAUUUUUUUUAUCAAGGGAAAGAAUCUAGGGUUAGUGAAAACUAAUAAAUUAGGCCAACUUUGUCAGUCUAUCCUUAAUAUAGAAAUAAAUCGAAAGGUUCAAAUAAGAAGAAAGUCCAAUAAAAGUAUAUCAGAAUCAAUCCCUCUUAUUAGAUUUCUAUAG
This 306-nucleotide ribosomal RNA is filed under the name Triticum aestivum (bread wheat). Its description in RNAcentral is "partial small subunit ribosomal RNA". The record is from RNAcentral. Lineage: Eukaryota; Viridiplantae; Streptophyta; Magnoliopsida; Poales; Poaceae.